AGGACGAACGCUGGCGGCGUGCUUAACACAUGCAAGUCGAGCGGAAAGGCCCUUCGGGGUACUCGAGCGGCGAACGGGUGAGUAACACGUGAGCAACCUGCCCUUGGUUUCGGGAUAGCUCCGGGAAACCGGAAUUAAUACCGGAUAUGAAUGAGGUCGACAUCGGCCACAUUGGAAAGUUUUUCGACCAGGGAUGGACUCGCGGCCUAUCAGCUAGUUGGUGAGGUAACGGCCCACCAAGGCGACGACGGGUAGCCGGCCUGAGAGGGCGACCGGCCACACUGGGACUGAGACACGGCCCAGACUCCUACGGGAGGCAGCAGUGGGGAAUAUUGCGCAAUGGGCGAAAGCCUGACGCAGCGACGCCGCGUGGGGAUGAAUGCCUUCGGGUUGUAAACCCCUUUCAGCAGGGACGAAGCGAAAGUGACGGUACCUGCAGAAGAAGCGCGGCUAACUACGUGCCAGCAGCCGC
This 472-nucleotide ribosomal RNA is filed under the name uncultured bacterium. RNAcentral's name for it is "SSU rRNA". It matches the Rfam family "Bacterial small subunit ribosomal RNA", at positions 26 to 518 of the family's 1533-position model. The record is from RNAcentral.